CAGUAGUCAUAUGCUUGUCUUAAAGAUUAAGCCAUGCAUGUCUAAGUAUAAGCAAUUAUACAGCGAAACUGCGAAUGGCUCAUUAAAUCAGUUAUCGUUUAUUUGAUAGUACCUUACUACAUGGAUAACCGUGGUAAUUCUAGAGCUAAUACAUGCUGAAAACCCCGACUUUGGAAGGGGUGUAUUUAUUAGAUUAAAAACCAAUGCCCUCCGGGGCUCACUGGUGAUUCAUGAUAACUUCUCGAAUCGCACGGCCUUGCGCCGGCGAUGGUUCAUUCAAAUUUCUGCCCUAUCAACUUUCGACGGCUGGGUCUUGGCCAGCCGUGGUGACAACGGGUAACGGAGGGUUAGGGCUCGACCCCGGAGAAAACGCCUGAGAAACGGCGUUUACAUCCAAGGAAGGCAGCAGGCGCGCAAAUUACCCAAUGCCGACACGGCGAGGUAGUGACGAGAAAUACUGAUACAGGGCUCUUUUGGGUCUUGUAAUUGGAAUGAGUACAAUUUAAAUCUCUUAACGAGGAACAAUUGGAGGGCAAGUCUGGUGCCAGCAGCCGCGGUAAUUCCAGCUCCAAUAGCGUAUAU
This 582-nucleotide ribosomal RNA is filed under the name Magnaporthiopsis cynodontis. RNAcentral's name for it is "SSU rRNA". It matches the Rfam family "Eukaryotic small subunit ribosomal RNA", at positions 18 to 604 of the family's 1831-position model. Lineage: Eukaryota; Fungi; Ascomycota; Sordariomycetes; Magnaporthales; Magnaporthaceae. The record is from RNAcentral.